ACUUUCAACAACGGAUCUCUUGGUUCUGGCAUCGAUGAAGAACGCAGCGAAAUGCGAUAAGUAGUGUGAAUUGCAGAAUUCAGUGAAUCAUCGAAUCUUUGAACGCACAUUGCGCCCCUUGGUAUUCCAUGGGGCAUGCCUGUUCGAGCGUCAUUUGUACCCUCAAGCUCUGCUUGGUGUUGGGUGUUUGUCCUCUCCCUAGUGUUUGGACUCGCCUUAAAAUAAUUGGCAGCCAGUGUUUUGGUAUUGAAGCGCAGCACAAGUCGCGAUUCGUAACAAACACUUGCGUCCACAAGCCUUUUUAACUUUUGACCUCGGAUCAGGUAGGGAUACCCGCUGAACUUAAGCAUAUCAAUAAGCGGAGGAAAAGAAACCAACAGGGAUUGCCCUAGUAACGGCGAGUGAAGCGGCAACAGCUCAAAUUUGAAAUCUGGCUCUUUCAGAGUCCGAGUUGUAAUUUGCAGAGGGCGCUUUGGCGUUGGCAGCGGUCCAAGUUCUUUGGAACAGGACGUCACAGAGGGUGAGAAUCCCGUACGUGGUCGCUAGCCUUCGCCGUGUAAAGCCCCUUCGACGAGUCGAGUUGUUUGGGAAUGCAGCUCUAAAUGGGAGGUAAAUUUCUUCUAAAGCUAAAUACUGGCCAGAGACCGAUAGCGCACAAGUAGAGUGAUCGAAAGAUGAAAAGCACUUUGGAAAGAGAGUCAAAUAGCACGUGAAAUUGUUGAAAGGGAAGCGCUUGCAGCCAGACUUGCCUGUAGUUGCUUAUCUGGACUUUUGUCCAGUGCACUCUUCUGCGGGCAGGCCAGCAUCAGUUUGGGCGGUUGGAUAAAGGUCUCUGUCAUGUACCUCCUUUCGGGGAGGCCUUAUAGGGGAGACGACAUGCAACCAGCCUGGACUGAGGUCCGCGCAUCUGCUAGGAUGCUGGCGUAAUGGCUGUAAGCGGCCCGUCUUGAAACACGGACCAAGGAGUCUAACAUCUAUGCGAGUGUUUGGGUGUCAAGCCCAGACGCGUAAUGAAAGUGAACGGAGGUGGGAACCUUUUAGGUGCACCAUCGACCGAUCCUGAUGUCUUCGGAAGGAUUUGAGUAAGAGCAUAGCUGUUGGGACCCGAAAGAUGGUGAACUAUGCUUGAAUAGGGUGAAGCCAGAGGAAACUCUGGUGGAGGCUCGCAGCGGUUCUGACGUGCAAAUCGAUCGUCAAAUUUGGGCAUAGGGGCGAAAGACUAAUCGAACUAUCUAGUAGCUGGUUCCUGCCGAAGUUUCCCUCAGGAUAGCAGUAACGUAUUCAGUUUUAUGAGGUAAAGCGAAUGAUUAGAGGCCUGGGGGUGAAACAACCUUCACCUAUUCUCAAACUUUAAAUAUGUAAGAAGUCCUUGUUACUUGAUUGAACGUGGACACUUGAAUGUACCGUUACUAGUGGGCCAUUUUUGGUAAGCAGAACUGGCGAUGCGGGAUGAACCGAACGCGGGUUAAGGUGCCAGAAUAUACGCUCAUCAGACACCACAAAAGGUGUUAGUUCAUCUAGACAGCAGGACGGUGGCCAUGGAAGUCGGAAUCCGCUAAGGAGUGUGUAACAACUCACCUGCCGAAUGAACUAGCCCUGAAAAUGGAUGGCGCUCAAGCGUAUUACCCAUACCCCGCCGCCGGGGCAGAAUUUAUGCCCCGGCGAGUAGGCAGGCGUGGAGGCUCGUGACGAAGCCUUGGGGGUGACCCCGGGUCGAACGGCCUCUAGUGCAGAUCUUGGUGGUAGUAGCAAAUACUCAAAUGAGAACUUUGAGGACUGAAGUGGGGAAAGGUUCCGUGUGAACAGCAGUUGGACACGGGUUAGUCGAUCCUAAGAGAUAGGGUAGUUCCGUUUUAAUGUUGGCGCUUGCGCCACGCCCUCGAAAAGGGAAGCCGGUUAACAUUCCGGCACCUGGAUGUAGAUUCUCCGCGGCAACGCAACUGAGAGCGGAGACCUUGGCGGGAGCCCCAAGAAGAGUUCUCUUUUUCUUCUUAACGGUCUGUCACCCUGAAAUCGGUUUGUCCGGAGCUAGGGUUCAAUGGCUGGAAGAGCGCUGCACUUUUGUGGCGUUUGGUGCGCUCCGACGAGCCUUGAAAAUCCGCUUGAAGAAAUAGUUUUUUACGCCAGGUCGUACUCAUAACCGCAGCAGGUCUCCAAGGUGAAAAGCCUCUAGUUGAUAGAACAAUGUAGAUAAGGGAAGUCGGCAAAAGAUCCGUAACUUCGGGAAAAGGAUUGGCUCUAAGGGUUGGGUACGUUGGGCCUUGGAGAGAAGCCUCUGGCGCAGAAGGGCACUAGCCGCAAGGUGGGCGCCUUUCAGCGCUGGGGUGCGGGCAUCCUUGGCAGGCUUCGGCCGUCCGGCGUACGUUUAACAACCAACUUAGAACUGGUACGGACAAGGGGAAUCUGACUGUCUAAUUAAAACAUAGCAUUGCGAUGGCCAGAAAGUGGUGUGUUGACGCAAUGUGAUUUCUGCCCAGUGCUCUGAAUGUCAAAGCGAAGAGAUUCGACCAAGCGCGGGUAAACGGCGGGAGUAACU
Molecule: ribosomal RNA, 2536 nt
Filed under: Parastagonospora nodorum
Lineage: Eukaryota; Fungi; Ascomycota; Dothideomycetes; Pleosporales; Phaeosphaeriaceae
Description: eukaryotic LSU rRNA
Rfam family: Eukaryotic large subunit ribosomal RNA (bases 310-2536)
Source: RNAcentral